AGAAUCAACGCUGGCGGCGUGCCUAACACAUGCAAGUCGCACGAGAAAGGGACUUCGGUCCUGAGUACAGUGGCGCACGGGUGAGUAACACGUGACUAACCUACCUCCGAGUGGGGAAUAACCUAGAGAAUCUGGGCUAAUACCGCAUAACACUUACGAGUCAAAGCAGCAAUGCGCUUGGAGAGGGGGUCGCGGCAGAUUAGUUAGUUGGCGGGGUAAUGGCCCACCAAGACGAUGAUCUGUA
Molecule: ribosomal RNA, 244 nt
Filed under: uncultured bacterium
Lineage: Bacteria
Description: partial small subunit ribosomal RNA
Rfam family: Bacterial small subunit ribosomal RNA
Source: RNAcentral